Trematomus bernacchii (emerald rockcod) is the source of this 1475-nucleotide long non-coding RNA. RefSeq lists it as uncharacterized. The transcript has 3 exons. The record is from RefSeq and is a predicted model, not a curated record. NCBI's taxonomy places the organism in Eukaryota, Metazoa, Chordata, Actinopteri, Perciformes, Nototheniidae.
GAUCCAGAAGACCUGUGACAGGAAGUGAAGACACACAGAAAGGUCCCAGAGGGUUACCUGUUGACCCGUGUCCAUCUCAAAAUGGUCCGCAGGCAUCCCAUAAUGCUGUGUUUGGGGGGGAGACGUUCUCCCUGUAAUCAAAGUACUGGGUUCUCUUGGAGACGCUCUCAAAGUCUUUGAGGACAAAGUCACAAAAAGCGAAGAAGAAGAAAUGUGUUGAGCUCUUCUUUGUGUUCAUGACCAUCAUUAAUCUCCAAUCAAAUGCUCCCGUUGAUUUGUAACUCUUCUAAAGGAGCUCUGCCUGGUGUCAUUGAAACUGUGCUAAAGGACUUGGACACCUCGGCAGCACUUGGUCUCUCUGGGAUAUUUUUCGCCAAUAAAAUGUCUAAAAAUAUGAGAAAACAUUGAAGAUUAUGUCGAAAAAAUUCCUCUAAAACUAGUGAGGUCCGUCAAAUGUAUAAAGAAAAAUUGUAUAAUAUUUAAAAAAUUUCAUGAAAAAGAUUAUAGUAUAGUAUGUCAAAUAUGUUGUUUGUAAAUCCUGCACGUUGCACAUUUCACCUCUUUUAAAUUAUUUGAUCAUGUUCUGUUGCUUUGCUGUUCUGUCAUGAAAGGCGCCCUUAAAUGAAAUGUAUUAUGUAUUAUUAUUAUUAAAAUCAGGAAAAAGGUAUAAGUAUAGUCUGUUGAAGUUAUCAUGAAAAGAGUUACCUGGGGAAGUCGACCAAUCACCAUCAUCUCAUCGCUCCACUGAGUCUCAAUGCCUGAAAUACACUGCAUUGCAUCAUGGCAUUGUUAGCAGAAAGUACAUUUCAUGGCGUUGAGUUUUUAAGUGGCAGCCGCUCUUUUUUUGGCGCCCACUCCUCCGGAUGUCCCACUCAUUUUUCCCCGUAGAAAAAGCGAGGCGAGUCAGAGUCGGAGCACUCCUACGGAUCAAAACUCUUCUGGUUGAGUCAUCCGAGCAAACUUAAGAAUAUAGAAAAUAUCAAUUGUGCCAAAAAAUAUCUUCAAAAAAGUUUAUACUUUUCUGAGAUACUGAUUUUGAGGUUUUCAUUAGCUGUAAGCCGUAAUCAUCAAGAUCAAAACAAUUAAAGGCUUGAGAUAUUUCACUUUGUGUGUAAUGAAUCUAUAUAAUAUAUGAGUUUCACUUUUUGAAUUGAAUUAAGGAAAUAAAUGAACUUUUCCACGAUAUUCAAAUGUAUUGAGAUGCACCUGUAUUACAAACACAAGAUGGCAACAUGUCACCGCACCUUUAUUGAUUGAGAUGAUUUUACCUGUGCUAACAUCAACACUGGUAUUGUUUUACAUUUUGAGUCUGUCAACCUGACAAAUGUAACCCUGUGACACUUCUGUCUAAACUACCACAGAGGGGGUUUUAAGAACUUUGCCAGGUGUGUAUAAUGAUACAGACAGAUAUUGUCACUGCAAAAGCAUUGCAACCGUGAAACUAUAAUUGUAUUCCCACUCCUACCACAAGGUGC